UACGUAGGUGGCAAGCGUUGUCCGGAAUUAUUGGGCGUAAAGCGCGCGCAGGCGGUCCUUUAAGUCUGAUGUGAAAGCCCACGGCUCAACCGUGGAGGGUCAUUGGAAACUGGGGGACUUGAGUACAGAAGAGAAGAGUGGAAUUCCACGUGUAGCGGUGAAAUGCGUAGAGAUGUGGAGGAACACCAGUGGCGAAGGCGACUCUUUGGUCUGUAACUGACGCUGAGGCGCGAAAGCGUGGGGAGUGAACAGG
Molecule: ribosomal RNA, 253 nt
Filed under: uncultured bacterium
Lineage: Bacteria
Description: partial 16S ribosomal RNA
Rfam family: Bacterial small subunit ribosomal RNA
Source: RNAcentral